GCCACGAGGCGGAGCGAAUCCCUAAAAGCCGUCCCAGUUCGGAUUGCAGGCUGNAACCCGCCUGCAUGAAGUUGGAAUCGCUAGUAAUCGCGGAUCAGCAUGCCGCGGUGAAUACGUUCCCGGGCCUUGUACACACCGCCCGUCACACCAUGAGAGUCGGGGACACCCGAAGUCCGUAGUCUAACCGCAAGGGGACGCGGCCGAAGGUGGAUUCGAUAAUUGGGGUGAAGUCGUAACAAGGUACC
RNAcentral lists this ribosomal RNA (245 nucleotides) under uncultured bacterium. RNAcentral describes it as "partial 16S ribosomal RNA". It matches the Rfam family "Bacterial small subunit ribosomal RNA", at positions 1254 to 1500 of the family's 1533-position model. The record is from RNAcentral.